Molecule: transfer RNA, 25 nt
Filed under: Rosa canina
Lineage: Eukaryota; Viridiplantae; Streptophyta; Magnoliopsida; Rosales; Rosaceae
Also listed under: 2 other names
Description: partial tRNA-Val
Source: RNAcentral
UAAUUUAUAUGUAAUUAGUUAAAUU